Long non-coding RNA from Gallus gallus (chicken), 2340 nucleotides. The record is from Ensembl. Lineage: Eukaryota; Metazoa; Chordata; Aves; Galliformes; Phasianidae.
GGCUUCUACCCUGGGCAGAUUGCAAAGAGUUCAUCUGUCUCCAGAAAUUCAUCAUAGUGGAAGAACCUGAAAAAGGUUCCAUUAAAAUAAAGAACGUACGGAGUCUCCAGCCAAAUCCAGGAGCAAAUCCAAAUCACGGUCUCUUAGAGGUUUUCACUGUUCAACAUCUUCUGAUUUCAGAGAUCUGUCAGUAGAAGCUUCCUACAGAGUGCUGCACGGUGCGUAGCUUCACAGUGGACAGAGGUCACCAAUAGAGUGUGAGAUCUUGUCCUAAAAAAGGAGCUGAGUAACAAGAAGACAAAGCCCUCUAAUAAUAUUAAAUCAUUCAUGUUAGUAAAGACAGAAGCAAAAUGCACACAAUGACAAAAAGACUUAAUGACAUUAAAGGACAAAAAGAGCAAAUGAAAUUUCUUAUAGCUAGAUAUAAAAGGACACAAAGGAAACCAUUCUUAAAUAUAUACACACAGCUAUGAAAUUUGAACCAAUUAUUAGAAAAAGGUGUAUAAUAACUAAUUAUAUUAGUUAGAUCUAUGGAAUGCUUAAUAACAGUCAAAGCAAAAAGCGUGUCACAGUUAUCAGGAGAAGCACAGAGAGCAAAGCAAUAAGCAUUAAGUCAUCUGAUAUAUCUUAGUAUGACCAAAUGUUGAGUAAUGAGUCUGGUUCUUAUUGUUUCUCAAAUAAAUUCUUAUGUUAAUAUGGAUAAACUGAAUAUUUAAGAGGUACGUAGAAAACUCUCAGGAAUAGUUAAAUGUUUGAGAAUUUCAUCAUAUGAAGGGCAAACAAAUGAACUAGAACUCUUCAACAUUCAAGAAAAGAAGACUUACGAGGACUAUGAUAGAGGUUUGAAUGAUGUGGAGGUGUUGAUCAAGGAAUGGUUGUGCUCUGGUCUAAUGAACAUACCAAGGGCCAUCCAGCAAAAUGAGAAAUUGGUUCUUUCAACCAUGUGGCUUAGAUCUGAAACUUCCUGCAGGAAGAGUAUACAUGGGUUCCAAACAGGAUUGUGUAUUUCGUGAACAAAAAAUCUACUGAAAGAAAAGAUGAUAGAUACCACCCUCUCGUCUAGAAAACAACCGAACUACAAAUUACUGGAGCAAGGGAGAUUAUUCUACGAGAGCUUCAUUAUCUAUUUGACCAGUUUUUUCUCUAUGCUUGCUAUAACUCAUUGAUUAGUAUUAGAGACAAGACAAAGGACUAGGUGAAACUUUGGUCUGACUCAGUAGAGCUCUUCUUGUGUUCGUGUAAUAUCUAAAACAUGUGCAUUAUCCCAUCAUCUUCAAAGUGCAACCAGUAAGAUUAUCCUUCUGGUUGGCUACUCUGCCAAGUCACAAGACUAUCCUGCCCUAGGUAGCCUGAUACACACUUUGUGAAAUUUAAGCUUCUUUAGUAUUCCUACAGAGCCCUCACAAUUUUUUCUCUUCUGAAAUUUUCCAUCUGUUCAUAUUUUACAUUAUGUCCGACGGCCAAACUUGCAGUCCCUUGCAUCCCACAACAGAAUCUGGAUUAUUCAGUUACGUGCUGUAUUAUAUGCAAAGAAUAAUUACUUUCCUCCCUAGUUUCACCUCAUUUCAUCCCAUCUUUCUGAUUGGACAAACCUUGUCUUCAGUUUUCUCCUCUCAAAAUCUCUGCUUUUUAUUCUCAUGUCUCUCUUCAAACAAUCUGUGAGUUUGUGAAUAUAUUUUAAAAGGAUCAAAAGAAAUACAAUCAACUCUUUAAUAAAAAAAGAAAGGAUUUUAUAUUCCUAUAUUUUUUCACCACUUUGUUCUGGUUGCAUUUGUUUUUUGUUGUCAUUGCUGACACUGAUUUUUCUCUGUAUGUUGAAAUUCACUGGAAAGGAAAAAAAUCUCCAUCUAAUAAAUAUAAUAUAAAUGAAAUAUAGAUAUCUAUGUAAUAAAUUCAUAAAUUAUUUGCCUUUGAACCCUUCACCAGCUCUGUAACCUCUAACUUAUCUUCCCAGACUAAGUAAUAUUUUAAACCUUGAAAAAACUUCAGGCAGUUAUCAUUUAAAAUAAGUUAUCUUGUCUGAGAAUAUCAUCUUCAUCUCUCAACCUUAUUCCUUAAAAAUUUUCUUCUAUGUUUGCUUUGGCUUGAGGCCACAAAUAAGCCAGAUUCCAUCUGGGUCAUUAUUUUUAUCUUCUGUAUAUAAAAAUCUACAAAACUUUGCAUUCUGGAAGUCACUGAAUAAGAAAUUUGAGUUUAUCUUUGGAUAAAAUGAGAUUUUUGUCUCCCAGUGGGAUAUAAAAAGUGACUUAUAGACCUAAAAGCUACCAAAAUAUGAAAUAAUUCACACUGGAAAGUUAUUUCUGCAUUGAGAAUUCUGUACUGAAAUUAUAUGGAAAAAGU